RNAcentral lists this transfer RNA (63 nucleotides) under Colossendeis brevirostris. RNAcentral describes it as "tRNA-Pro". Lineage: Eukaryota; Metazoa; Arthropoda; Pycnogonida; Pantopoda; Colossendeidae. The record is from RNAcentral.
CAAGUAAUAUUUUAAUAAGAAUAUUAAUUUUGGAGAUUAAAGGUAAAUUUUAUUUUUACUUGA